GCCAGGGUGGCAUAGUGGUUUAAGGAUUGGACUACAACUCUGGAGACCAGGGUUCGAGUCCCCACUUGGCCA
Phrynosoma platyrhinos (Desert horned lizard) is the source of this 72-nucleotide non-coding RNA. The record is from the annotation of a GenBank genome assembly. NCBI's taxonomy places the organism in Eukaryota, Metazoa, Chordata, Lepidosauria, Squamata, Phrynosomatidae.